AUUUAUAUAGUUUAUUAAAAACCUUACAUUUUCAUUGUAAAAAUAAAACACAAGUUUUUAUAAAUU
RNAcentral lists this transfer RNA (66 nucleotides) under Archisepsis discolor. RNAcentral's name for it is "tRNA-Glu". The record is from RNAcentral. Lineage: Eukaryota; Metazoa; Arthropoda; Insecta; Diptera; Sepsidae.